CCUACGUGUGGCAGCAGUGAGGAAUAUUGGUCAAUGGCCGUGAGUCUGAACCAGCCCAGUAGCGUGAGGGAAGACUGCCCUAUGGGUUAUAAACUUCUUUUAUGCGGGGAUAAAAGUUUCCACGUGUGGAAUUUUGUAUGUACCGCAUGAAUAAGGACCGGCUAAUUCCGUGCCAGCAGCCGCGGUAAUACGGAUGGUCCGGGCGUUAUCCGGAUUUAUUGGGUUUAAAGGGAGCGUAGGCGGGUCUUUAAGUGCGCCGUGAAAUUUUGUGGCUCAACCUUGAGAGUGCGGCGCGAACUGGAGACCUUGAGUGCGCGAGAGGCAGGCGGAAUUCGUGGUGUAGAGGUGAAAUGCUUAGAUAUCACGAAGAACCCCGAUUGCGAAGGCAGCCUGCCGCAGCGUUACUGACGCUGAAGCUCGAAAGCGCGGGUAUCGAACAGGAUUAGAUACCCGGGUAGUC
RNAcentral lists this ribosomal RNA (460 nucleotides) under uncultured bacterium. RNAcentral's name for it is "partial 16S ribosomal RNA". It matches the Rfam family "Bacterial small subunit ribosomal RNA", at positions 338 to 795 of the family's 1533-position model. The record is from RNAcentral.